AGCCUUCUGUAUCCAUGCUGAGAUUUCGUCACAGACCAACCCGUCGGGGCUGAUGCAACUUCUCAAAUAAGUAAGGUG
Molecule: microRNA precursor, 78 nt
Filed under: Trichobilharzia regenti
Lineage: Eukaryota; Metazoa; Platyhelminthes; Trematoda; Strigeidida; Schistosomatidae
Description: mir-3492 microRNA precursor family
Rfam family: mir-3492 microRNA precursor family
Source: Rfam by way of RNAcentral